Molecule: transfer RNA, 88 nt
Filed under: Puccinia coronata f. sp. avenae
Lineage: Eukaryota; Fungi; Basidiomycota; Pucciniomycetes; Pucciniales; Pucciniaceae
Description: Puccinia coronata var. avenae f. sp. avenae partial tRNA-Tyr
Rfam family: tRNA
About the family: Transfer RNA (tRNA) molecules are approximately 80 nucleotides in length. Their secondary structure includes four short double-helical elements and three loops (D, anti-codon, and T loops). Further hydrogen bonds mediate the characteristic L-shaped molecular structure. tRNAs have two regions of fundamental functional importance: the anti-codon, which is responsible for specific mRNA codon recognition, and the 3' end, to which the tRNAs corresponding amino acid is attached (by aminoacyl-tRNA synthetases). tRNAs cope with the degeneracy of the genetic code in two manners: having more than one tRNA (with a specific anti-codon) for a particular amino acid; and 'wobble' base-pairing, i.e. permitting non-standard base-pairing at the 3rd anti-codon position.
Source: RNAcentral
CCCCCGAUAGCUCAGUUGGAAGAGCGCGAGACUGUAAUGGAUAGGAAAGAUCAUCUUGAGGUCGCUGGUUCGAUCCCGGCUCGGGGGA